UCCUACGGGGGGCAGCAGUGGGGAAUAUUGGGCAAUGGGCGCAAGCCUGACCCAGCAACGCCGCGUGAAGGAAGAAGGCUUUCGGGUUGUAAACUUCUUUUCUCAGGGACGAAGAAAGUGACGGUACCUGAGGAAUAAGCCACGGCUAACUACGUGCCAGCAGCCGCGGUAAUACGUAGGUGGCAAGCGUUAUCCGGAUUUAUUGGGUGUAAAGGGCGUGUAGGCGGGAGCGCAAGUCAGAUGUGAAAACUCAGGGCUCAACCCCGAACCUGCAUUUGAAACUGUGGGCCUUGAGUGGGCGAGAA
RNAcentral lists this ribosomal RNA (305 nucleotides) under uncultured bacterium. RNAcentral describes it as "bacterial SSU rRNA". It matches the Rfam family "Bacterial small subunit ribosomal RNA", at positions 337 to 656 of the family's 1533-position model. The record is from RNAcentral.